ACUGUGGCGCCUCUCCUCCCCAAUCCCCUUUCUGCCCAACCUCCAGCCCCUCCCUGGCCCAAUCCCUCGUCGCCGUCGCCGUCGCAGGGCUGCCCGGCGGAAGCAGCGCCGCCUCGUCAUCUCAUCCCCUCCCGUGCUCCUCCCCAAUCCCUGCCCUCCACUCCAUCUCAGGUGAGCCGCCGUCGGCCGCGUCCGCUCGACAUGGGGAGCAGGCAUGGAAGAUGCAGACCGAUGAGGGUGUUCUGCCUCCAGCUCAGCUCCGGUUUGGCCGGAAGGACAACGGCCAGCAGCGCAAGGACCUGGCCUCCUCCGCGUUAGCACACUGGCCGGCCCUCUUCUUCUUUUUCUAAAGAUCUACACGAUCCGUUUUUACUUGUGCCUGUAAAGUGUUUGAUGAAAAUCCUAGCCAAGAUUAAUGUAUGCAAUAUCUAUGCUCCAUCUAGCUGUUUGCAGUUUUGCAAUUAAGGUCUUAAAAAGUGCUCAACUACCAAUAUUGGAAAGGGAGGAGGAUACGGGCUGGGCAAGGAUUUGGGGUAGCUAACUGUCAGUGCAGUUACACAUAAGAAACCUGCAGAAGUUGCUACUCGAUGGAGUGAAAUUGGCAGGGCAGGGAUUUGGGGGAGCAAACUCCUUUUUUAUCCCGCAGAUAAAUGUAUAAGGCGGUAAGAUGUUGGUGGCUUGCUGGAUAAGAGGCGGGAGCGACAAGCUUUGCGUUUCUGCUCAUCUGUGCAAAGUGCAUAUUAGGCAGCGAGACGUUGGUGAUGAAGACGGCGGUGGAGGAGUUGGGCCGGUCGUCGUCGUCUCCCAAGCCACUACUCCCUACUCCAUCAUUUGCUCGACCCUCACACUUUAAUAUCAUGCCCGGCCACGAGGAGGUCAUACCACAAGAUUUUUGCUACGCCCGUGCCUUGCUCAACCGUGUAGAGGUUGCGCCUCCGCUGCUUUUUCGGCAACUCACUUGUGUGGACAUAAAAAUGCAGAAAGUAUGCAUAGGGACGAAGGUCAAGUAAAUAGCACAGUGGAACUUAACUGGAGUUUUGAUAAAUAGCACGAUAAGCCAUGGACAUGCUACCGCGUUCCCUUUAUUAUUUUGAUGGACUCAGAUUGGUGAUGAAACUGAGAGAGUUGUAAUUCUGUGUGUGAAUAGCUGGGUGGACUUGCCUGCGGAUCUAUCCAAAGUUCAUGGACUCAAGCGCUACUUGCCGCAAUAGGUUGAGAGAAAUUGCAUACUGUUCGCAUGUCUCAAGAGAACAUACAAAAUUCGGUCGAUGUUUGAUUUGGUCGAUGUCGAUGUUCAUCAUUUCAGGGCCAUAUGUACUCUCAAGUUUCAACUCCUACUUCUUCAUCAUCAUAGAUGGCUCAUUGUUUAAAAAAUAAGAAUAUACAGCUACAAUUAAGUUGAGAGAAUGCCAACCUGUUUCAGGAAUAGCUUUUUCUCCUGAACUCAACUUCCGGGUGGGGGUGGAGGAAUUCAGUAGCCUUUAUUUGGGAAGUUGGGGCACAAUCUAUAACGGAUAUUAGUUUUAUAUCUUUUGCAGUCAUUUACGAAGUUGGCGAACAAGUUGUUGUCCUUUUUACAAAGGAAGAGAUGCAACACUCCACUACUACCUACUAUAUCCAGGAUGAGCAACCUCUAGAGAUACCGUGUGACAAGACCAGGUUCUCUACCUCCAGCCUGUUUAGCUGGCUACACUUCAAUGUCAGGCACAUCUAUCUUUUUAGAUCAUCGAACUCUGUAAUCUCCCGAGUUGUUUAAAUAUGUUUACCUUGUCAUCUUUUGAAAGAAAAAAUGCAUGCUUUCAUCUCACUGGUAUUUCUCCUUGGCUAUUUGUUUAUGACAUUCAUAUCAUUUCUCAACUAGGUUUCCCCUGACAUAUGUGUUGCUACAAGAUCUUCUUCAAUUAUCAAACAACCUGGUCUUAGGUACUUACGCAGCCAACCCAUCAUUCAGAAGAAUUUACUGUAUUGAUGUCUUUCAGGUAAAUUCAUCUGCUACGUUUCUAUUGAUGUAUCCAUACCCUUACACAGUACCAAAGGCAUUUCCCUGUGUAAGAGUUUGUUUGUCAUCUUAGGUAGGGAGGCAAUGAUCAGGUAGUCACUCUCAUAAAACGACAUGUAGGUGACCGGCAAAAAGAAUUUGCCCUAUCUGAAGCAUUAUAUUCUCUUAUAGACCUUACCAAAAAAAUUGUCUCUUUGUAGGUUUAUAUCGACCAUGAAUUUAGUUCUCAUUUUCUUUAUUUUUUUCAUUUUUGACUGAAAGUUUGUUAUAUAGGUGCUUCUGACGUUACUUUUUUUAGAACAUGAAAGAAGGUAGAGGACACCUCUGCCUUAUGGUUACAAGACUAUAGAAUAGAGAGAGGGUAAGGGGAAUCUAGAACUCGGACGCAACCAGGGAAUUGCUGUUAAAUGCCAUGUCGUUUCUUAGCUUUGUAGGUUUAUAUCAACCAGGGAAUCUAGAAGGUGAGUUCUAAGCUUGUUGUUAAAUGCCGUGUCGUUUCUUAGCUUCCAAGGUCCCAGCAAGCAAGCCGAGAGGUAGAUGAAACAAGUUUCAGAGUUCGCGUUGUGACUCGUCUGCCAAUUUGGUAAUUAUGCUAGAAGCAGCUGCUUGCUCUGUUAGGCCAACCUUGUCUCACAGCCAGCUAGAAUAUUUGCAGCGAAGACCUAGAUGAUGGAUCAAUUCCACUGCUGGGCCAACCAUUGUCUGAACACCAAGCGUUGGAGACCAUGUUGUCCCUAGCGUUGAGUUGCCCCUAAUAGACUAACCAGAGAAAGAUUUUGUGUCUAUGUGGGUAUUUUCUUUACCCCAAACCCAUCGAUAUGGUCACCACCUCUUGUGUUGUCGUUUAGAACUCUGUAGAGAUCAGCCAUUGUAGUAUUUUUUUGCCAGGUAUAAGCAAUGUCCUGCUAUCAUUGCUGGUGUCAUUAUGUGGGGUAAUGUCACGUAUGUAUGUAAAAAAGCAAAUCUGCAUGAACCUGCGUUGUGUGAGAUAGAUGCAUUAAAAGUUGAAUUGUCCGUUGGGUGCUGUUGAACUGCAAGAAAACUGUGCAUUGUUGGUCAGUAGCAAACGUAUAAAGAACCGGGAGUGUGCAGUUCAGUAUUCCAAGUGGGCACUAAUAUUCAGUCCAAAAGACACCAAAUUGUUGGAGCCAAUUUGACAUUUUGUUAGGCCUUGCACACCUGGUAGCAUUGUCAUUAGGGAACCCCACAAUGGUGAGUCGUGUGUGCCACGCUCAGGAGUGUCUGUUUUCGGUCCACUUUUUCUCAUUUUAAUUUUGCACAUCUAAAAUUCAUCUUUUAAUGUCAGUAUAUAUGUUCGAAACUUUUUCUGAUAAAAUUCAUAAAAGUACUCAUAUAUCGAUGAUAUAUCAUAUGAUUCCCUAUUAAGUUUCUUUACUUUAAUCUUGGCAUUCAUGCAUUCAAGAAUCUUCUUUUAACAAUUGCAAGCUCUCAUUUCAGUUUACCCUUUCGCUAGCCUGUUUUUGGAUAGUGCAUGCAAUUUUUGUUUUUCAGAUAUGUAAAGUCCGGCCAAUGUUGGGUGAAGAUUAGUCUCUCCAACUUCUAUGCAUGAUCCACAAAAGCUAUACUGACAGUAUAAAAAUGGAUUUGAUGUCAUGCAUGGAAGCCCAUAGCAAUGUCAAUCCUUAGAUUACCGAUCAAGGCAUGCACAGUUAGAGAUCUGAUUCUGUUAGCGACACAUUAUAUUGUCCUUGGUUACAUAUACUCUAAUAAUUGUGUUAGUAUUUAGUUGCUGAACUAUUUCUGGUGAUGCACUAUUUACUGCUGAUAGGUGCAACCUACCGGUUUAUAAAUCAUAAGUAUGUUGUGAACAUGCCUUUUUGCAUACAUAAUGUCAUGUGGUUUUAUAGUA
This is a long non-coding RNA of Lolium perenne, 3869 nucleotides long. RefSeq lists it as uncharacterized. Lineage: Eukaryota; Viridiplantae; Streptophyta; Magnoliopsida; Poales; Poaceae. The record is from RefSeq and is a predicted model, not a curated record.